CCAGACAGUAAUUGAUAGCUGUGCUGCAAAAUGUCCUUGGAAUUUUUUUUUCAAAUGUUGGCAACUAUGGCACUGUAUCAAGGGAAAUGUGUUUGUUUUUUAAUAAUCCCUGGUGGAAAAUAAUGAAUCCUCCACCAGGGAUUAUUAAAAAAACAAAACACAUUGUGUCUGGGGCGGGGCGUAACAUGCGACAGGGGCGGGGUCAAACUGCAGCGAGGGCGGGGUUAAAUAUGCC
Molecule: non-coding RNA, 235 nt
Organism: Pelobates cultripes (western spadefoot toad)
Lineage: Eukaryota; Metazoa; Chordata; Amphibia; Anura; Pelobatidae
Source: the annotation of a GenBank genome assembly